RNAcentral lists this ribosomal RNA (446 nucleotides) under uncultured bacterium. RNAcentral's name for it is "bacterial SSU rRNA". It matches the Rfam family "Bacterial small subunit ribosomal RNA", at positions 355 to 825 of the family's 1533-position model. The record is from RNAcentral.
UGGGGAAUCUUGGACAAUGGGCGCAAGCCUGAUCCAGCCAUGCCGCGUGGAUGAUGAAGGCCUUAGGGUUGUAAAAUCCUUUCGUGGGGGACGAUAAUGACGGUACCCCAAGAAGAAGCACCGGCUAACUACGUGCCAGCAGCCGCGGUAAUACGUAGGGUGCGAGCGUUAAUCGGAAUUACUGGGCGUAAAGCGUGCGCAGGCGGUUUUGUAAGACAGACGUGAAAUCCCCGGGCUUAACCUGGGAACUGCGUUUGUGACUGCGAGACUAGAGUGUAGCAGAGGGGGUAGAAUUCCACGUGUAGCAGUGAAAUGCGUAGAUAUGUGGAGGAAUACCGAUGGCGAAGGCAGCCCCCUGGGCUAACACUGACGCUCAUGCACGAAAGCGUGGGGAGCAAACAGGAUUAGAUACCCCAGUAGUCCCUGAGCGGGCUGGCAAGGCGCAU